AAAGAGAGAGCGGCGUACGGGUGCGGAACACGUGUGCAACCUGCCUUUAUCUGGGGGAUAGCCUUUCGAAAGGAAGAUUAAUACUCCAUAAUAUAUUGAACGGCAUCGUUUAAUAUUGAAAGCUCCGGCGGAUAGAGAUGGGCACGCGCAAGAUUAGCUAGUUGGUGAGGUAACGGCUCACCAAGGCGAUGAUCUUUAGGGGGCCUGAGAGGGUGAUCCUCCACACUGGUACUGAGACACGGACCAGACUCCUACGGGAGGCAGCAGUGAGGAAUAUUGGUCAAUGGGUGCAAGCCUGAACCAGCCAUCCCGCGUGAAGGACGACUGCCCUAUGGGUUGUAAACUUCUUUUGUAUAGGGAUAAACCUACCCUCGUGAGGGUAGCUGAAGGUACUAUACGAAUAAGCACCGGCUAACUCCGUGCCAGCAGCCGCGGUAAUACGGAGGGUGCAAGCGUUAUCCGGAUUUAUUGGGUUUAAAGGGUCCGUAGCGGACUUAUAAGUCAGUGGUGAAAGCCUGUCGCUUAACGAUAGAACUGCCAUUGAUACUGUAAGUCUUGAGUAUAUUUGAGGUAGCUGGAAUAAG
RNAcentral lists this ribosomal RNA (584 nucleotides) under uncultured bacterium. RNAcentral describes it as "bacterial SSU rRNA". It matches the Rfam family "Bacterial small subunit ribosomal RNA", at positions 86 to 670 of the family's 1533-position model. The record is from RNAcentral.